GACGAACGCUGGCGGCGUGCCUAAUACAUGCAAGUCGCACGGGUCCCCAUCGAGAGGUUGGUGUCGCAGGGCGGAGGUACACGUGGGGACCUAUCCUUCACUGGAGCACCACACCGCGAGAGCGGUACGAAUCCCGCAUACGCCCUGCGGAGCAUAGCGUCAGCAAUCACGAGCUGAAGAUCGGCCGUGCUACCCCUCAGGUAGGUGGCGGGGUAACGGCCCACCAAGCGCGUGACGGGUCGCUGGUCUGUGAGGGAGACCAGACAGACUGGGACUGAGCUACGGCGCAGACUACUACGCGAGGCAGCAGCAAGGAAUUUUGGGAAAUGGGCGCAAGGAUGACCGAGCAACGCCGCGUGAGGGAUGACGGCCUGCGGGUUGUAAACCGCUUUUGGGGGGGAAGAAACUGACGGUACCCACAGAAUCAGCCCCGGCUAACUCUGUG
RNAcentral lists this ribosomal RNA (445 nucleotides) under uncultured bacterium. RNAcentral's name for it is "partial 16S ribosomal RNA". It matches the Rfam family "Bacterial small subunit ribosomal RNA", at positions 28 to 507 of the family's 1533-position model. The record is from RNAcentral.